CUUGAUGGUGUAAAGCUCCGGCGGUGAAGGAUGAGCCCGCGGCCUAUCAGCUUGUUGGUGAGGUAAUGGCUCACCAAGGCGACGACGGGUAGCCGGCCUGAGAGGGCGACCGGCCACACUGGGACUGAGACACGGCCCAGACUCCUACGGGAGGCAGCAGUGGGGAAUAUUGCACAAUGGGCGAAAGCCUGAUGCAGCGACGCCGCGUGAGGGAUGACGGCCUUCGGGUUGUAAACCUCUUUCAGCAGGGAAGAAGCGAAAGUGACGGUACCUGCAGAAGAAGCGCCGGCUAACUACGUGCCAGCAGCCGCGGUAAUACGUAGGGCGCAAGCGUUGUCCGGAAUUAUUGGGCGUAAAGAGCUCGUAGGCGGCUUGUCACGUCGGGUGUGAAAGCCCGGGGCUUAACCCCGGGUCUGCAUUCGAUACGGGCUAGCUAGAGUGUGGUAGGGGAGAUCGGAAUUCCUGGUGUAGCGGUGAAAUGCGCAGAUAUCAGGAGGAACACCGGUGGCGAAGGCGGAUCUCUGGGCCAUUACUGACGCUGAGGAGCGAAAGCGUGGGGAGCGAACAGGAUUAGAUACCCUGGUAGUCCACGCCGUAAACGGUGGGAACUAGGUG
This 615-nucleotide ribosomal RNA is filed under the name Streptomyces mirabilis. Its description in RNAcentral is "bacterial SSU rRNA". It matches the Rfam family "Bacterial small subunit ribosomal RNA", at positions 192 to 822 of the family's 1533-position model. Lineage: Bacteria; Bacillati; Actinomycetota; Actinomycetes; Kitasatosporales; Streptomycetaceae. The record is from RNAcentral.